AGCUCGUCUCCCACCACCGAGUUCCUCUAUUUCCCACCCCUUCCUCUUUCUCUCGCAAAAUUCGCCCCAGUAAGGAAAAUGUAUUAUGAUUUCUGGAAGCUACUACUUUCUCAUCCUCCCCUGUGAACGGCUGAGCAAAGAAUUAAUUUAGACUUUUGCAAAGUCGGGGUCUCUCUCAUUAAAGUAAUCCCAGCGUCUCUGGGAGGCCUGGAAACGCCUGCCGUCCCCGGCCAUGCCAGCCAGCCGUCCACCUUCCUGGCCUGCACCUGCGGUGGUGGGACGGGCAGCUGCAGGGAGUGGAGCCCCAGCCUGUGCAGUCUGAAUAAUGGACACACAGCCCUGAUGCACCAGGAGGAACUGUGAGACAGCUUCCUUUCACCUCUUCACACAGGCCCUGAUGAGGAGGCCGAUGGAGACGAGAGUGACCCACGUCCCCUUAGCAGUCCUCAAAAUUGAAACCAAGAGAGGAGUUUACGUCCCUUCACAUGGCAUACUAAUUUUUAAAACUCUAUAAAAAAAAACAAACCAAGCCCUACUCCAUGGGAUGGCUCUUGCUGCACCCCAGACCUCUGGACUCUCAUGUAAAUGUCUGUUUUGUUUCCUGAGCCGGCUCCAGCACACCCUGUCCACGGGAAAGUCCACCAGCGAGAAGGCCGGGCUGGGGCCCGGAGGGAAGAUGGAGCCUGGUGGAGGCUCAGCGUGGAGGGGGGUGGGCACAAGGGGGUCCUUGCAGGUAGGGACUCCACAGUGGCCCAGCGGGUCCCUUGCCGGGGUGUUUGGAGAUACAGGAGUGGGGGCUCUGCGCUGGCUCCUCCGCGCCCUCAAAACAGCAGCUUAAAACAACAGACAUUUAUCAAUCACCCCACGUCCUGAGGGCCGGAACCUUGGAGGCAGCUUCUCGGGGUGCUUGCAGCCCAGGAUGUGGGCAAGCUGAGGUCGGGCCGCAGGCUCCCCCUCGGGCUGUGGCUGGCGGCAGGAGGCUUCAGUUCCUCCCCACAGGCCCCCUCCACGGUGUGGCUUCAGAGGGGGCCUGGCAGAAGGGUGGGCGGAGGGCGACCCCAGGAUCAGGAUCGCUGGUCACUGGGUGUGGGCGCUCUUGGCCGAUCCUGUGGGAGGGCACAGCAGGGUCCCCGCAGGGGAAUCCCUGCAGGCCAGUCGCCACAGGCUGGUGUAUUUAGAGAGCCCGCCAGGAGCCCAGCUCGCGGGCGGGCGGGCUCUAGGAAUUCAGCAGGAAACAAAGGAGGCGCUGUCCCUGCCUGGAGCUCCUCUUAGCGCAAGGCACAGAGGGGGCAGGUGAGCGCGGGAUGCAUUCGUCUCACUGACCCAAGGUGUCUUCUUUAAUCUCCGACAUCUCUGCGAUGCCGUACAUCCUGGCUGAGGCGAUGUCAUUGUGUAUUUGAUGUUUUAGGUUCCUGCUCUUCAGGGCAGGGUACGAGAGCUCAUUAAAACCAUGAAUUGAGGAGACUGAA
Marmota flaviventris (yellow-bellied marmot) is the source of this 1469-nucleotide long non-coding RNA. RefSeq lists it as uncharacterized. NCBI's taxonomy places the organism in Eukaryota, Metazoa, Chordata, Mammalia, Rodentia, Sciuridae. The record is from RefSeq and is a predicted model, not a curated record.